GGGAAUCUUCGGCAAUGGACGAAAGUCUGACCGAGCAACGCCGCGUGAGUGAAGAAGGUUUUCGGAUCGUAAAACUCUGUUGUUAGAGAAGAACAAGGAUGAGAGUAAAAUGUUCAUCCCUUGACGGUAUCUAACCAGAAAGCCACGGCUAACUACGUGCCAGCAGCCGCGGUAAUACGUAGGUGGCAAGCGUUGUCCGGAUUUAUUGGGCGUAAAGCGAGCGCAGGCGGUUUCUUAAGUCUGAUGUGAAAGCCCCCGGCUCAACCGGGGAGGGUCAUUGGAAACUGGGAGACUUGAGUGCAGAAGAGGAGAGUGGAAUUCCAUGUGUAGCGGUGAAAUGCGUAGAUAUAUGGAGGAACACCAGUGGCGAAGGCGGCUCUCUGGUCUGUAACUGACGCUGAGGCUCGAAAGCGUGGGGAGCGAACAGGAUUAGAUACCCUGGUAGUCCACGCCGUAAACGAUGAGUGCUAAGUGUUGGAGGGUUUCCGCCCUUCAGUGCUGCAGCAAACGCAUUAAGCACUCCGCCUGGGGAGUACGACCGCAAGGUUGAAACUCAAAGGAAUUGACGGGGGCCCGCACAAGCGGUGGAGCAUGUGGUUUAAUUCGAAGCAACGCGAAGAACCUUACCAGGUCUUGACAUCCUUUGACCACUCUAGAGAUAGAGCUUCCCCUUCGGGGGCAAAGUGACAGGUGGUGCAUGGUUGUCGUCAGCUCGUGUCGUGAGAUGUUGGGUUAAGUCCCGCAACGAGCGCAACCCUUAUUGUUAGUUGCCAUCAUUUAGUUGGGCACUCUAGCGAGACUGCCGGUGACAAACCGGAGGAAGGUGGGGAUGACGUCAAAUCAUCAUGCCCCUUAUGACCUGGGCUACACACGUGCUACAAUGGGAAGUACAACGAGUUGCGAAGUCGCGAGGCUAAGCUAAUCUCUUAAAGCUUCUCUCAGUUCGGAUUGUAGGCUGCAACUCGCCUACAUGAAGCCGGAAUCGCUAGUAAUCGCGGAUCAGCCACGCCGCG
This 1013-nucleotide ribosomal RNA is filed under the name Enterococcus casseliflavus. RNAcentral's name for it is "bacterial SSU rRNA". It matches the Rfam family "Bacterial small subunit ribosomal RNA", at positions 357 to 1361 of the family's 1533-position model. Lineage: Bacteria; Bacillati; Bacillota; Bacilli; Lactobacillales; Enterococcaceae. The record is from RNAcentral.